Molecule: long non-coding RNA, 817 nt
Filed under: Fukomys damarensis (Damara mole-rat)
Lineage: Eukaryota; Metazoa; Chordata; Mammalia; Rodentia; Bathyergidae
Description: lncRNA (ENSFDAG00000030760.1)
Source: RNAcentral
CCUGCGCAGGCGCAGACGGCCAGUGCAGGUGGGCUUCGCGGGUCUGGUCUCCCGCGGCGGCGCAGCUCCUGGAUGUCUGACAGUGUAUGCCCUGGGCUGAGGUGGGACACUGGGAAGGAGCGGAAAGGGACAGAGAGCCCGGGAACACAGCACACAAGCUGUCGCCUGAGGGCUGAAGUAGGACGCCCGGGUUCUGAGGGAGUGCCUCUACCUGGGAUCUCCAGUGCAGUACUCAGUAUAUUUUUGGUGAAUGAAUGAAUGAACACUGAGGUAAGUUGGGCAUUAUUAAAAGUAUUAAACGCUUAGAAAUUUAAGCUUCAUUUAUGUCGAUAUAUCUUUUAUCUGAUUGAGAAUGUUAUGAAUCUUUAACAGUGUCUGUAUUUUUUAAACUUUUUGGCAUCCUCAGCUGCCAUUUUGAUCAGCAACAAAUCCAGCCACACACUUCUAAAUAAAAGGAAAUAGGUCUUUAAAACUAGCUUCCUUAUGUUUUUUAAAGGGAAAUAGGGAGGACUGAGAUUGGAAACAUUAAUGCUUUCAGAAAAAACUAUUAAAAGAAGAGAAACCUGACUAAAUUGGAUUCGUUACCGAGAGACUGGAAAUUUUCUUCCCAUUCCCAACAGGCUUUUUAUCUUGCUUUUCCACAUUUCAAAAUGUCAAAUUAACUGCAAAGUUAAUUCCCACUACUAAGGAAGGAAUUCUAAAGGUUUUAAUUAAGGAUUACUGGGCAUUUUAAUUUUAUUAAUCAGAAUGAACUUUUUAAUAAUGAACAAUUAUUUCUUCGCUUCUAUGUAUUUAUGUUCUUAUAGAAUAUUACCAC